Molecule: ribosomal RNA, 427 nt
Filed under: uncultured bacterium
Lineage: Bacteria
Description: partial 16S ribosomal RNA
Rfam family: Bacterial small subunit ribosomal RNA
Source: RNAcentral
UGGGGAAUAUUGCACAAUGGGCGCAAGCCUGAUGCAGCCAUGCCGCGUGUAUGAAGAAGGCCUUCGGGUUGUAAAGUACUUUCAGCGAGGAGGAAGGCGUUGUGGUUAAUAACCGCAACGAUUGACGUUACUCGCAGAAGAAGCACCGGCUAACUCCGUGCCAGCAGCCGCGGUAAUACGGAGGGUGCAAGCGUUAAUCGGAAUUACUGGGCGUAAAGCGCACGCAGGCGGACUGUCAAGUCGGAUGUGAAAUCCCCGGGCUCAACCUGGGAACUGCAUCCGAAACUGGCAGGCUAGAGUCUUGUAGAGGGGGGUAGAAUUCCAGGUGUAGCGGUGAAAUGCGUAGAGAUCUGGAGGAAUACCGGUGGCGAAGGCGGCCCCCUGGACAAAGACUGACGCUCAGGUGCGAAAGCGUGGGGAGCAAACA